UAGAACGUUUGAGACAAUCAAAGAAAGAGAGAAAAAAAGAAGAACAGGUUUAAUAUACAUUAUGGAAGUCGUCAGAAAGUGUAGAUAAGAGAGAAAGUUUGAGACAAUCAAAGAAAGAGAAAAAAAGAAGAAGAACAGAAGUCCUCAGAAAAUGUAGAUGAGAGCGGAUGACAAGAGCUAACCACAUUCAACAUCUUGGUAGUGGGACCAGAGAUUACCAAAUUAAACAUCUAAGUAGGGUAAAUAAAG
Long non-coding RNA from Mytilus trossulus (common blue mussel), 249 nucleotides. RefSeq lists it as uncharacterized. The record is from RefSeq and is a predicted model, not a curated record. The transcript has 5 exons. Lineage: Eukaryota; Metazoa; Mollusca; Bivalvia; Mytilida; Mytilidae.